UAACACGUGGGAACGUGCCCAAAGGUACGGAACAACUCCGGGAAACUGGAGCUAAUACCGUAUGUGCCCGAAAGGGGAAAGAUUUAUCGCCUUUGGAUCGGCCCGCGUCUGAUUAGCUAGUUGGUGAGGUAAUGGCUCACCAAGGCGACGAUCAGUAGCUGGUCUGAGAGGAUGAUCAGCCACACUGGGACUGAGACACGGCCCAGACUCCUACGGGAGGCAGCAGUGGGGAAUAUUGGACAAUGGGCGCAAGCCUGAUCCAGCCAUGCCGCGUGAGUGAUGAAGGCCCUAGGGUUGUAAAGCUCUUUCGGCGGGGACGAUAAUGACGGUACCCGCAGAAGAAGCCCCGGCUAACUUCGUGCCAGCAGCCGCGGUAAUACGAAGGGGGCUAGCGUUGUUCGGAAUCACUGGGCGUAAAGCGUAUGCAGGCGGAUCGUUAAGUCGGGGGUGAAAUCCCGAGGCUCAACCUCGGAACUGCCUUCGAUACUGACGAUCUUGAGUCCGGGAGAGGUGAGUGGAACUCCGAGUGUAGAGGUGAAAUUCGUAGAUAUUCGGAAGAACACCAGUGGCGAAGGCGGCUCACUGGCCCGGUACUGACGCUGAGAUACGAAAGCGUGGGGAGCAAA
RNAcentral lists this ribosomal RNA (626 nucleotides) under uncultured bacterium. RNAcentral's name for it is "bacterial SSU rRNA". It matches the Rfam family "Bacterial small subunit ribosomal RNA", at positions 111 to 772 of the family's 1533-position model. The record is from RNAcentral.